This 449-nucleotide ribosomal RNA is filed under the name uncultured bacterium. RNAcentral's name for it is "partial 16S ribosomal RNA". It matches the Rfam family "Bacterial small subunit ribosomal RNA", at positions 29 to 523 of the family's 1533-position model. The record is from RNAcentral.
AACGAACGCUGGCGGCAUGCCUAACACAUGCAAGUCGAACGAGACCUUCGGGUCUAGUGGCGCACGGGUGCGUAACGCGUGGGAACCUGCCCUUGGGUUCGGAAUAACGUCGGGAAACUGACGCUGAUACCGGAUAAUGUCUUCGGACCAAAGAUUUAUCGCCCAAGGAUGGGCCCGCGUAGGAUUAGCUAGUUGGUGGGGUAACGGCUCACCAAGGCGACGAUCCUUAGCUGGUCUUAGAGGAUGAUCAGCCACACUGGGACUGAGACACGGCCCAGACUCCUACGGGAUGCAGCAGUGGGGAAUAUUGGAAAAUGGGCGAAAGCCUGAUCCAGCGAUGCCGCGUGAGUGAUGAAGGCCUUAGGGUUGUAAAGCUCUUUUACUGGGGAUGAUAAUGACAGUACCCAGAGAAUAAGCCCCGGCUAACUCCGUGCCAGCCGCCGCCGUAA